CCAGGUCUCCCGGCAACGCUGCGGCCCCGCCCACGUCAUGGCGCCCGAGGAGAACGCGGGUACCGAACUCUUGCUGCAGGGUUUCGAUCGCCGCUUCCUGGCGGCGCGCACACUGCGCUCCUUCCCCUGGCAGAGCUUAGAAGCAAAGUUAAAAGACUCAUCAGAUUCUGAGCUGCUGCGGGAUAUUUUGCAGAAGACUGUGAAGCAUCCUGUGUGUGUGAAGCACCCACCGUCAGUCACGUGUGCCCGGUGCUUUCUCUCAGAACUCAUCAAGAAGCAUGAGGCUGUCCACACGGAGCCUUUGGAUGAGCUGUACAAGGCGCUGGCAGAGACUCUGAUGGCCAAGGAGUCCACCCAGGGCCACCGGAGCUAUUUGCUGCCCUCGGGAGGCUCGGUCACACUCUCUGAGAGCACAGCCAUCAUCUCCCACGGUACCACAGGCCUGGUCACAUGGGACGCCACCUUGCAGAAUGGGCCAUCGAGAACCCGGCAGCCUUCACUAACAGGUGACCUCGGGGCACAGGGCAGGGCACCGAGGCAGGCUUACCCUGGUGCAGUCGAAGACACGGUCCCCUUUCCUCCCGCCAGGACUGUCCUUGAACUUGGCAGUGGUGCCGGCCUCACAGGCCUUGCCAUCUGCAAGAUGUGCCACCCCUGGGCAUACAUCUUCAGCGACCCUCACAGCCGGAUCCUCGAGCAGCUCCGAGGGAAUGUACUUCUCAAUGGCCUCUCAUUAGAGGCAGACAUCACUGCCAACUUAGACAGCCCCAGGGUGACAGUGGCCCAGCUGGACUAGGACGUAGCGAUGGUCCAUCAGCUCUCUGCCUUCCAGCCAGAUAUUGUCAUUGCAGCAGACAUGCUGUAUUGCCCAGAAGCCAUCGUGUCGCUGGUCGGGGUCCUGUGGAGGCUGGCUGCCUGCCAGGAG
This 925-nucleotide small RNA is filed under the name Pan troglodytes (chimpanzee). Its description in RNAcentral is "retained intron". The record is from RNAcentral. Lineage: Eukaryota; Metazoa; Chordata; Mammalia; Primates; Hominidae.